UGGCAAAAUACUUCUCCUAGGGGAGUACAGACAAAUAUAGACAGACAGAUGGGGGCACAGGACACCAGACAGGGAGGGGGGAAGGGAGGGCAGUGGUGUCUUCUAAUCAGUAAGUGGAAGCUGCACCCCACCCCCAGGUGGAGGGUGGGACAUUGGCACAGGAGGUGGCGAGACAGGCAUGAGGUGCCCAUCCCUGAGGCGGGCAGCCGGGCAGGCCCCAGUCCUUGUUGGCACACUCGGCUCUCUCUGGCCCAGCUGGGAUGCUGGGGAGGGGCAGGGUUGCUGGGCUACAGGGAUGCCAAGGCAAAGGGAUGCCCCAGGGGAGAGGGGGUACCAAGGCCUCUCCUGGGGGAAGUGAACAUGGGUAACAAACAGAAUCACGAGAGGCAAAUACAGAGCAGCAACAGCAGCAGCCAAGCCCCCCAGAGGAGAUCCGAGGUCCCAAGGCAACCCCUGGGCACCAUCCCACGGGUCCUCUCCCCUGGGGCCUCAGGGUGAGGGUGAAGGAGCAGUUUUUUGGUUUAAAAUGAGGCGGACCAGAGUGUUCCAUGGGCUCCACACCCAGGUGGCACAGGGAUGGGGGGCUCAGAUGCAGAGGGGCCCCCUCUACUAAUGGCAGCAGGCAAGGGAUGUUGGAGGCCAAGCUCAUUCCUGGGGUAGGCAAAGGCUGAGGCAUGGAGGUGGGGGGUGGGGAGCAGCGUCUCGGCCGCUCACUCCUCAGGGUUCUGGGCCCUGGACGUUGCCAUGGCCACGGAGGGUAGAGGGUGCUGUAUGCCUGCCAGCUUCCACCCAGAACCCUCCCCAAGACAAGCUCCCCAUGGGGUGUCCAUGCUAUGGCUUUCACCGACCAGACGAUGCUGCCAGGAAGCUGGGAGGAAGGGGCAGGCAGGGUGAGGGACCUUGGAUCUGGGGUCUGGGGAAGAGAGCCCCCAUGGGAAAGAAUCUGUGGCCUCCCUUUCCAGGAAAAGCGCCCAGCCCUUCCCCAGUACUGCAGCUUGGGAGAAGGAGAGCCAUCCCACUUAGGACCGUCACUUAGGGCCCCGAGUAGAAAGAGUUAAGGAAGUGCACCUUUUCUCUAGGAGGGUGAGGGAGGAGAGCCCCUUAAGAUGGGAGAAAGGGGACACUUCAGAAAGGUGGGUAUCCCCCAUCCAUCCACAACAGGCAGGUAAAAACCGACAGCUGGGGCUUAAGGGCCUCCCGGGAGCUGGGAUGGUAACACCAAAGAAACCCCAAGCUUUGAGCAAAGGCAUCUGAAAGGAGGGAGACAGCGCCCCCUGGAGGCGAAUACAUGUCAGUUCCGACCCCAGAGCAGGAGGGAAGACGGGCAGGGCGCCCACUACAUGGCAUGUUCCUGCUCCUGGGGCACCACACUGCCCCGCUGUGAGGACUCCAGCCCGCCCCAGAAGCCGAGGUUUCUCCUGAGCGAGUCCGAGUCCCAGGAUUGUGAUUCGAGGCAUCCUGCCCAUCCCCAGCAGCAGAGAGCAACGGCAGGUGCGAGGAGCAGCUCCCAGGAUCUUACCUGCCAUCAAACCGAUGCUUCAAGAAGUCAAAUAAAG
This 1556-nucleotide long non-coding RNA is filed under the name Homo sapiens (human). RNAcentral's name for it is "long non-coding RNA NONHSAT053418.2". The record is from RNAcentral. Lineage: Eukaryota; Metazoa; Chordata; Mammalia; Primates; Hominidae.